RNAcentral lists this long non-coding RNA (5571 nucleotides) under Sus scrofa (pig). Its description in RNAcentral is "lncRNA (ENSSSCG00050066309.1)". The record is from RNAcentral. Lineage: Eukaryota; Metazoa; Chordata; Mammalia; Artiodactyla; Suidae.
AGGGCCAAAAAUGAAAAUAAAAGUAAGCCAUCGUGAAGGUAAAAUUAGGACCAGACACAGAGCCUGUGGAAUAUGGAUGCGAGAGAGCUGCUGAUCAGAGUUUCCAGAGCUCAGACUGUCUUGCAGCCCCCAAAAGCUGAUCCAGGACUAAUGAAACAUCAUUCUCAGGAAGGUGCCCAUAAGGUCAACAUCCUUAUUGCUUUAAGGAUGAUCUAUUUCCUCUAAAAGGGUUCCAUCUAAUUCAACCAAAAUUUAAUGUAAUAAAAAGCCCUUUAGGUGCUUGUAUAAAUAUAACUUAAUUGGGAAGUUGCUAUCUUGACAGUUUAGAAAUAAAGGUAUAAGUGACGGUAAAACCAUCCUCACGCAGUACAUACAAAAGUGGGAUGAAAAAUGUUACAAGAUCAGGUUCACAUUUUGGAAAUUCUAGUGCAGUUUGGGAUCUGGGCUAUCUAUCGGUAGGAAGGUACAUUUCUUUCAUUCUUUUGCCUGUCCAAAGUUAAAAUUAAUAAUAAAAUGUUUCUAUCCAUGUUUGGCAUCAAAAAAUUUUCCUUUUUACAGUCCCAGAAAACCAAAUAGAAGAAAACCAACAUUCACUGAAUGUCAGGCAUUAUAUUAGGUACUUUACAGAUAAUAUAUUAUUAUCUCAUAAAUAUUAUCUAAUUUAAUUUUAUAGCACUGAAGAAUCAGUAGACCCCAGGGUGUCUGGCUCCUAUGCUUGAGACUGUCCCUCUGUAUUCCAUUAUGGCACACAGUUGCCAAUUUUCAGAGAAAUAGAAUACAAGAAAAUUUACUUGACAGUAAAAUCACAAUGCAAAUACCUUAAUCUUCUAUUGUGAUCUAAAAAGCACUUUGUCUCAAGUUUUAUUUUUCUAAACAGCAACCAUGGGUUGGUUUUAUCUUAUUACUUCCAUAUCCAUUAUAGUUAAAAAUAGAAGGUUAAGCUGCAACUAUAUGGGUCCUAUGUCAUAUUCUAAUAUCAAAUUAUUUAAUUGCCUUCUCUAAUAAGAUAAGAGGCCAGAAAAAAAUGGUAAUUAUUUGAGAAUUUUUGUUGUUUGGAUUCUAUAUAGUAUUUGGAUUCUAUAUAGUAGUUGGCAUUAUUUAUUUCUUUGUGUAGAUCCAUUAUGGCCUGCUUUUAACCUUUGGGUCUAAGGACUUCAAGUAAAACAAAAUUGUGGGCCUUAAUUCUCCCAAGUUAGCAUUUUGUUUUCUUUUUAACUGUGACCCUAAAUAAUAGUUGACAAUAUAAACAGGUUUAAGAAAGGUUGAGAAAAAUUCGUGGACUUCAGCCGCCUAAUAGAUCAAGAGGAAUUAAGUACCUGGAGGGUACAUCCCUGAUUUUUGAGAGCAUUAUGAUGGAAAAACUACCAUGCUUCCUCAUAGAACAUUCCUUCAAGAAUAUUAAGAGAAAGAUUGCAUUUUUAAUGCCUUUCUCAAGUUCAUUUCCAUCGUCUUUCCCUCAAAACCCAUUUUGCUUUUUAACGGUCUAAUCUGUUAAUUUUAUCACCAUUUUUUAAAGUUUCCCAGGAUAGGAAAUCUUAGAAUAGCAUUUCUCAACAUGAGUUCUGUGAAAUACUAAGGCCUAUGAUAUACCAAUAAGAUUCUACCAAAUGAAGAAUCUCUUUAGGGAAUGCUAGAUUAAAGAAAAUUACACAGGUUCCACUUCCAAUAAUGGCCCAGGAGUUCAUAUUAAACCAACCUUUCUGCAGAUAAAAAUUAAAUUAUUGAGAAAAUAUAAUUCUUAAAAAGUAUAAACAAAAAGUGGAAAAACUGAAAGCAAGCAGGUACUAAAUGUGGGGCAAUGCUUUGUAGAAGAGAAUGGCAUUGGAUGAAAUUCCCUUUUUUUUUUUUUUUUUACAGCCGUUGGCCUUUUUGUAAAGCAGGCCCCUACAGAGAGCUGUGCUAAACAGGCUCAAACUCAAAUAGAAACUCAGUAUUACUGAGCUGAAGAUCUAGAAGACACAGUUGUGGGUGACCACAGCAGCUAGAAAAUGGAAGACCUUUCAGAAAGGAGAGAACCAGAAAUAGGAAGGCCCACAUUCUAUAUAUAAACUCUAUCCAAAUCUCUGCCUGAUAUUUGUACUAAGAAUGCAUGGGACAGACACCAAGCAUUUCAGCUAAGACUAGAAGAAAUAAACUAAGAUUUUAGUUGAUGCUCUUGUCAGGGAAGAUAAAGUUUGCAAUUUGAGUUCAGUCAUAUUAUCUGAAAACUCUUUAAAGGAACAUAAUAAAGUUCAGAGUUUCUGCAGUGUAUUGUUCUCAAUGUCCAGGAUGGAAUCCAAAAUUCAACACACAAAGAAAUGUGAUUCCUACAUUUUUCUCCAAGAGAAAACAUAAUAGACAUUAACCAACCCCUAGAUGGCCCAGAGAAUGGAAUCUGCAGAUAAGAGUUUUAAUGUAGCCAUUAUUGGAGUUCCCGUCAUGGCUCAGUAAGGAUGUGGGUUCAAUCCCUGGCCUAGCUCAGUGGGUUGAGGAUCCAGUGUUGCCUUGAGCUGUGGUGUAGAUAGCAGACACAGCUCAGAUCUGGCAUUGCUGUGGCUGUGGUGUAGGCUGGUAGCUGUAGCUCCAGUUUGGCCCCUAGCAUGGGAAUAUCCAUAUGCCUUGGGUGCAAUCCUAAAAAGACCCACACAAAAAACAAACAAAAAAAAGUAGCCAUUAUAACUAAGUUCAAUAAUGUAAAAAGAAACAUGCUCACAAUGAAUGAAAAGAUGAAAUCUUAGCAGAAAAUCAGAAAACUGUUAAAAAAAGAUAGAAAUGCUAGAACUGAAAAAUAUAAUAUCUUAAAAUUACACACACAAAAUAAUAACAAAGGAGUUUCUGUUGUGGCUCAGUGAGUUAAGAUCCCAACAUGGUGUCCAUGAGGAUUUGGGUUCAAUCCCUGGCCUUACUCAGUGUUUUAAGGAUCUGGUGUUGCCACAAGCUGUGGAGUACGGUGGAGAUGCAGCUCCAAUUUGACCCCUAGCCUGAGAACUUCCAUAUGCUGCAGGUGUAGCCCUAAAAAUAAAAACAAAACCAAAAUUACACAGAUUUCUUUAAACUUCACAGAGUUUUUAAAUAUGUUCAUGAGCAUCAUGAAUCUCCAAGAGGGAAAUGAACUAUGGAACUGUUUCCCAAAUUUGGGAACACUAAAUGGAAGAUUAAAGUUCAUGCCUAUAGAACACAGUUUGAGCAAUACUGCCCUAGAGAUUCAAGUUAAGGUGUCUGUGAUUAAACUGUAAACAAAAGCUCUAUGGUUUUGGUUUGACUCUGGUACUGAGUUUGUAUUCUGUGGGGCAGAUAAUUCUGACAUAUGAGGCAGAGAACAAAUAUGUAUUAGGUGCUUGCUAAGUGCUAGGCAGUACUAUUUCAUAAAAUAAGUUUUAUUGUUCUUGAUUUAAUAAAGUAUUUUAGGAGUUCCCAUUGUGGCUCAGUAGUAAUGAACCCGACUGGAAUCCAUGAGAUGUGGGUUCGAUCCCCGGCCUCACUUAGGGGGUUAAGGAUCCAGUAUUGCUGUGAGCUAUCGUGUAGGUUGCAGAUGCAGCUAGGACCUGGUGUUGCUGUGGCUGUGGUGUAGGCCAGCAGAUACAGUUCCAAUUAGACCCCUAGCCUGGGAAGCUCCAUAUGCCAAGGGUGUGGCCCUAAAAAAAAAAAAGACUCAGUUCUGCCAGAAUUCAAAGCCUACACUCUUCAUUCUAUUCACUUGAUACUCAAAAUAUGGUGCAUGAACCAGCAUCAGGAGAAUUACCUGGAAGCUUGUUAGAAAUGCAAAAAAUCACAGGUCCUGAUGAAGACCUACUAAGUCAGAAUCUGAAUUUAACAAAAUGCUUGGGAAAUGUGUCUGCACAUUAAAGUUUGAGAAGCAUUAGUCUAUACCAGUGGUUCUCAAAGUGUAAUUUCUGGACCAGCAGCAUUAGCAUCAGCUGAAGACUUGUUAAUGCAAAUUCUUGGGCCAAAUUCUACAACUAUUAAAUCAGAAAAAUCUGUGUUUUAACAAGCUCUUUGGGUGAGGUGAUGCACACUAAAAUUUGAGAGCUGCUGGUCUCUUCUAUAAUGCCUCACAUUAAAUUACUGAAAAUAGCCAAACAAAUAGCAUGAAUAAAAGGCAAAAGUGAGACUUUGAUCCUGACAAAAAUAAACUAAGACUUAGUAGGAUAAAGUUUCAAGUAAUAACCUAUAUGAGGAGAGGCAUACAAUAAUACUAGAAGACACAAAAAGAUAGUGUCUAAAUAUGGCAGAAAUGCCCAUGCUUUACAAAUUAAACUACCAUUUAAUAGAAUUGGAAGGAGUUUGAUAAAUUGUAAACUUUACAUUAAAGAAUAAACAAAAAUUAAUAAAAUGUGGGAGGGGGAAAAGGCUAACUCUAUCAGCAAAGAAAGCAUGCUAUAAGGCUACAAUAGAAAAAACCACACACACAAGAAUUUGUAACUAGAUUAAUGAAAUCGAUUAUGUGGCUCCUAAAGUAGUAGUUUUCAAAAAGAGGCUUUUUCCAACAAUGCGUGCCAUCCCUUGGAAAUUCUAGUAUUUACAGCCCUCCUUGCAAGUCAUUGCAUAUUGUGAGUUUGAAUUUUGUAUAGACAAAACUAAGAACCACUUCUCCAUGAUAAGAAUUUAAUAUAUGAUUAAAAGUCUAGAACACGCAACAAUUCAUACUGAGGGAAAUGGUUAAUUAUUUGGGUGAAAAUAAUCAAGUUAGAGCUUCCCAUCAGAAUUUGUAUCACCUAUAUUCCAGGUUUUAAAAUAUAUUAAAAACACAUAGUGGAAAAUUUAAAUUUCUGUAUAUUAAAAAAAAACCACAAAAUUUUAAAAACACAGUGGAAAAUUUAAACUUCUGUAUAUAUUUUAAAAAAAAACACAAAAUUUGUGACAACUAUGGAGAAAAGGUUAAUAAGCUUUUAAAAAUAUUUUUAUGGGAGUUCCUGUCCUGGCGCAGUGGUUAAUGAAUCCGACUAGGAACCAUAAGGUUGCGGGUUCGGUCCCUGCCCUUGUUCAGUGGGUUAACGAUCCGGCGUUGCCGUGAGCUGUGGUAUAGGUUGCAGACGCGGCUCGGAUCCCACGUUGCUGUGGCUCUGGUGUAGGCCGUGCCACAGCAACGCGGGAUCUGAGCUGCGUCUGCAACCUACACCACAGCCCAUGGCAACGCCUGAUCUUUAACCCACUGAGGGAGGCCAGCGAUUGAACCUGCAACCUCAUGGUUCCUAGUUGGAUAUGUUAACCACUGAGCCACAACGUGAACUCUGGUUGUCUUUUUAUUUAAUGGUUUCCUUUGCUGUACAAAAGCUUGUAAGUUUGAUUAGGUCCCACUGGUUUAUUUUUGUUUUUAUUUCUAUUGCCUUGGGAGACUGACCUAAGAUAACAUUUGUAGGGUUGAUGUCAGAGAAUGUUUUGCCUAUGUUGUCUUCUAGGAGUUUUAUAGUGUCUUAUCUUAAUGUUGUUUAAGUUUUUAAGCCAUUUUGAGUUUAUUUUUGUGCAUGGUGUGAGGGUGUGUUCUGGUUUCAUUGAUUUACAUACCCCUGUCCAGUUUUCCUAGCAUUAUUUGCUGAAGAGACUGUCAUUUCCCCAUUUUAUAUUCUUGCCUCCUUUGUCAAAUAUUAAUUG